CGGAGAGGGAGCAUGAGAAACGGCUACCACAUCUAAGGAAGGCAGCAGGCGCGUAAAUUACCCAAUCCUGACGCAGGGAGGUAGUGACAAGAAAUAUCAAUAGAUUGAACACAGUUCUGUCUAAUUGGAAUGAGUACAUUCUAAACCCCUUAACGAGAACCAAUUGGAGGGCAAGUCUGGUGCCAGCAGCCGCGGUAAUUCCAGCUCCAAUAGCGUAUACUAAAGUUGUUGCAGUUAAAAAGCUCGUAGUUGGAUUUCUGUGCACCGGUUGUUGGUCUGCCUCUAUGAGGUGGGUCCUUCACCGUUGUACAUCCUGUUGGCAGACACGUGCUGGCAUUCAUUUGUCGGUGCGGGGAGACCACUCGUUUACUUUGAGAAAAUUAAAGUGUUCAAAGCAGGCAAUCGCUUGAAUACAUUAGCAUGGAAUAAUAGUAUAGGACUUUGAUCUUAUUUGUUGGUUUUAAAGAUCAAAGUAAUGAUUGAUAGGGACAGUUGGGGGCAUCAGUAUUCUGAAGCGAGAGGUGAAAUUCUUGGACCUUCGGAAGACUAACAACUGCGAAAGCAUUUGCCAAGGAUGUUCUCUUUAAUCAAGAACGAAAGUUAGGGGAUCGAAGACGAUCAGAUACCGUCGUAGUCUUAACUAUAAACUAUGCCAGCUAGGGAUCGGUGAACGUUGUUUCGACUUCAUCAGCACCUUAUGAGAAAUCAAAGCAUUUGGGUUCCGGGGGGAGUAUGGUCGCAAGGCUGAAACUUAAAGGAAUUGACGGGAGGGCACCACCAGGAGUGGAGCCUGUGGCUUAAUUUGACUCAACACGGGAAAACUUACCAGGUCCGGACAUAGUAAGGAUUGACAGACUGAAGGUCUUUCUUGAUUCUAUGGGUGGUGGUGCAUGGCCGUUCUUAGUUGGUGGAGUGAUUUGUCUGGUUAAUUCCGUUAACGAACGAGACCCCAGCCUGCUAAAUAGGUGGUUCCAUUAUGAUGGGAUCUUCUUCUUAGAGGGACUAUUGAGUGUCUAACCAAUGGAAGUUUGGGGCAAUAACAGGUCUGUGAUGCCCUUAGAUGUUCUGGGCCGCACACGGGCUACACUGCGGGGUUCAACGAGUAUAUACCCUGCGUAGAAAUGCGUAGGAAACCUUAUGAAAACCCCGCGUGCUUGGGAUAGACUAUUGCAAUUAUUAGUCUUCAACGAGGAAUUCCUAGUAAACGCAAGUCAUCAGCUUGCAUUGAUUACGUCCCUGCCCUUUGUACACACCGCCCGUCGCUCCUACCGAUUGGAUGAAUCGAUGAGUCUUUUGGAGAAUUCCGGCUGAUCACAUUGUGCGACGCAGGUUUCGAAGUUAUGCAAAUCACUUCAUCUAGAGGAAGGAGAAGUCGUAACAAGGUAACC
RNAcentral lists this ribosomal RNA (1388 nucleotides) under uncultured eukaryote. RNAcentral describes it as "SSU rRNA". It matches the Rfam family "Eukaryotic small subunit ribosomal RNA", at positions 384 to 1804 of the family's 1831-position model. The record is from RNAcentral.